Molecule: small nuclear RNA, 164 nt
Organism: Bison bison bison
Lineage: Eukaryota; Metazoa; Chordata; Mammalia; Artiodactyla; Bovidae
Gene: U1
Rfam family: U1 spliceosomal RNA
About the family: U1 is a small nuclear RNA (snRNA) component of the spliceosome (involved in pre-mRNA splicing). Its 5' end forms complementary base pairs with the 5' splice junction, thus defining the 5' donor site of an intron. There are significant differences in sequence and secondary structure between metazoan and yeast U1 snRNAs, the latter being much longer (568 nucleotides as compared to 164 nucleotides in human).
Source: Ensembl
AUACUUACCUGGUAGAGGAGAUACCAUAAUCACGAAGGUGGUUUUCCCAGGGCGAGGCUUAUUCAUUGUACUCUUGACGUGCUGACCCCUGUGACUUCCCCAAAUGUGGGAAGCUCGACUGCAUAACUUGGGGUAGUGGGGGACUGUGCUCGUCCUGUCUUCUG